Molecule: ribosomal RNA, 691 nt
Filed under: Nocardia sp.
Lineage: Bacteria; Bacillati; Actinomycetota; Actinomycetes; Mycobacteriales; Nocardiaceae
Description: bacterial SSU rRNA
Rfam family: Bacterial small subunit ribosomal RNA
Source: RNAcentral
GUGAGUAACACGUGGGUGAUCUGCCUUGCACUUCGGGAUAAGCCUGGGAAACUGGGUCUAAUACCGGAUAUGACCAUGGAAUGCAUGUUCUGUGGUGGAAAGAUUUAUCGGUGCGAGAUGGGCCCGCGGCCUAUCAGCUUGUUGGUGAGGUAACGGCUCACCAAGGCGACGACGGGUAGCCGACCUGAGAGGGUGACCGGCCACACUGGGACUGAGACACGGCCCAGACUCCUACGGGAGGCAGCAGUGGGGAAUAUUGCACAAUGGGCGAAAGCCUGAUGCAGCGACGCCGCGUGCGGGAUGACGGCCUUCGGGUUGUAAACCGCUUUUGACAGGGACGAAGCGCAAGUGACUGUACCUGUAGAAUAAGGACCGGCCAACUACGUGCCAGCAGCCGCGGUAAUACGUAGGGUCCGAGCGUUGUCCGGAAUUACUGGGCGUAAAGAGCUUGUAGGCGGUUCGUCGCGUCGUUUGUGAAAACUUGGGGCUCAACCUUAAGCUUGCAGGCGAUACGGGCGGACUAGAGUACUUCAGGGGAGACUGGAAUUCCUGGUGUAGCGGUGAAAUGCGCAGAUAUCAGGAGGAACACCGGUGGCGAAGGCGGGUCUCUGGGAAGUAACUGACGCUGAGAAGCGAAAGCAUGGGUAGCAAACAGGAUUAGAUACCCUGGUAGUCCAUGCCGUAAACGGUG